CAGUUGUAGCAAGGAUAUUUAG
RNAcentral lists this microRNA (22 nucleotides) under Zea mays. Its description in RNAcentral is "microRNA miR-3159". The record is from RNAcentral. Lineage: Eukaryota; Viridiplantae; Streptophyta; Magnoliopsida; Poales; Poaceae.